Molecule: ribosomal RNA, 735 nt
Filed under: uncultured bacterium
Lineage: Bacteria
Description: bacterial SSU rRNA
Rfam family: Bacterial small subunit ribosomal RNA
Source: RNAcentral
AGUCGAACGGAGCACCCUUGAUUGAGGUUUCGGCCAAAUGAUAGGAAUGCUUAGUGGCGGACUGGUGAGUAACGCGUGAGGAACUUGCCUUUCAGAGGGGGACAACAGUUGGAAACGACUGCUAAUACCGCAUGACGCAUUUUGAUCGCAUGGUCGAAAUGCCAAAGAUUUAUCGCUGAAAGAUGGCCUCGCGUCUGAUUAGCUAGUUGGCGGGGUAACGGCCCACCAAGGCGACGAUCAGUAGCCGGACUGAGAGGUUGACCGGCCACAUUGGGACUGAGAUACGGCCCAGACUCCUACGGGAGGCAGCAGUGGGGAAUAUUGGGCAAUGGGCGCAAGCCUGACCCAGCAACGCCGCGUGAAGGAAGAAGGCUUUCGGGUUGUAAACUUCUUUUAAGUGGGAAGAGUAGAAGACGGUACCACUUGAAUAAGCCACGGCUAACUACGUGCCAGCAGCCGCGGUAAUACGUAGGUGGCAAGCGUUGUCCGGAUUUACUGGGUGUAAAGGGCGUGCAGCCGGGCAUGCAAGUCAGAUGUGAAAUCUCAGGGCUUAACCCUGAAACUGCAUUUGAAACUGUAUGUCUUGAGUGCCGGAGAGGUAAUCGGAAUUCCUUGUGUAGCGGUGAAAUGCGUAGAUAUAAGGAAGAACACCAGUGGCGAAGGCGGAUUACUGGACGGUAACUGACGGUGAGGCGCGAAAGCGUGGGGAGCGAACAGGAUUAGAUACCCUGGUAG